Molecule: long non-coding RNA, 467 nt
Organism: Suricata suricatta (meerkat)
Lineage: Eukaryota; Metazoa; Chordata; Mammalia; Carnivora; Herpestidae
Exons: 2
Source: RefSeq, a predicted model, not a curated record
AGAAAGGACACAAACCCCUCCAGGCAGAAACAGCAGCAGGUGAGGGAAACUGAGGCCCAGGAGCUGGUGCCACGACAGUUCUGAGGGCCAGCCGAGAAAGCCACUGUGUCUGGAUGCCACCACCUGUGGCCACCGGGCCGCCUGAGAACAUGGCUUCCGUCACGCCAUGCCCCGCAGACCUCAUGCUGGCCAACCCCACUCCCAGGAGGCGGCUUCCGGCCUCAGCAGGCGGGGCGUGACCAGUGGACAAGAGACCGCACCCCUCCAGCCGGGGAGCGGAGGGGAGAUGGAGACCCGACGCGAACAGGCAGAGCUCAGCCAGGUCCAGAGGGACCCCCCACCCGGCCCCUGCAGGCGGCUGCUUCUCAACCACCAUUUCUCCCGUCCUAGGAAACCCCAGUUGUGUCCUGUCUCCAUGUGUGAGCCUGGAGUCUCCAGAAAAACUGAAAUAAAAUGAUAUGCUCACA